RNAcentral lists this long non-coding RNA (918 nucleotides) under Volvox carteri. RNAcentral describes it as "long non-coding RNA (VCAR_LNC002050)". Lineage: Eukaryota; Viridiplantae; Chlorophyta; Chlorophyceae; Chlamydomonadales; Volvocaceae. The record is from RNAcentral.
GAAAACCCAAUGUCCUCAUGUGAAAUAAAAAAUAAAAAACGUAUUCUCCUUGCAAGCUUCUACUCGGCCUCUGUGCGAGUAAGUUUCCCAAGGACGUUGUAAUGGUUUUCUCAGGCGCCGACAACCCUCCAGGGUAAUGUCGUUCCUAUGCUUAGAUUAUCAGCUGCUGGGUCAGACCCAAACAUCAGACAACUGACCUAUAGAAGCAUCCAACUGGGAGCACGUGGGUGCCGCCAGCAUCAAAUUAGGCAUCGACUAAGCUGGCGAUGCCUCCAACGAAAUGUUGCUUUAGUAUAGCUUUAAGGAUUGUGAAAAUGGUCAAACAAUGGCGGGUGGCAAAGGCAUGGUAUAUGUGAAAUAUUGCAACGAGAUAGGUUAUGCCGGAUUGCGCUAAGGCGCUGCUCAAAACUCAAUCUAUGACGAGAAACGUAGGAAGAUGCUCUAUGUAAAAUUGACGCUUGUUACGGACCAGGCUUGGGUUCGUAAUGAACAACAGUCAGCCGCAGCGGAUGCGAAGGUGCGGGGUAUACUGGACACGUCACCCAGCUGGUGCAUUGCAUCACCCCCAGCAGUGCAUAUGAGGAAACUGCUCUGACCACCUGGCCUGAUGCAUAUGCUCAUUCGUUGACUACAAAAUAGCUGUCUUGUGCAGCCUUUUAGUCUGCCAGUCCAGCAGUGCACAACUGGCAGGCCGGCGACUAAGCAACUGACGAAGCAAGGAACGCGAACCCGCCCGUCCGCCACUUGUCAUGAAGCUAUAUCGGGGGCAAUCUUUGUGCGUGAGGGGAACCGCAAGAGGACAUAAGCUGUUAUAAUGCUAAGCUAUAUGCUGCACCACAGGUAUUUGAAUCCAAAUGCCCCUAUCGGCUAACUGCAGAUACUGGAAAACUAUCCAGGCGAUGUAACAGCGAUGUGCUC